This 253-nucleotide ribosomal RNA is filed under the name uncultured bacterium. RNAcentral's name for it is "partial 16S ribosomal RNA". It matches the Rfam family "Bacterial small subunit ribosomal RNA", at positions 524 to 776 of the family's 1533-position model. The record is from RNAcentral.
UACGUAGGGUGCGAGCGUUAAUCGGAAUUACUGGGCGUAAAGCGUGCGCAGGCGGUUGGGUCAGUCGCUGGUGAAAGCCCCACGCUCAACGUGGGAAUGGCCAACGAGACGGCCCGACUGGAGGCAGGGAGAGGCCGGUGGAAUUCCGGGUGUAGUGGUGAAAUGCGUAGAGAUCCGGAGGAACACCAGAGGCGAAGGCGGCCGGCUGGACCUGACCUGACGCUGAGGCACGAAGGCGUGGGGAGUGAACGGG